This 120-nucleotide ribosomal RNA is filed under the name Solanum vespertilio. The record is from RNAcentral. Lineage: Eukaryota; Viridiplantae; Streptophyta; Magnoliopsida; Solanales; Solanaceae.
GGAUACGAUCAUACCAGCACUAACGCACCGGAUCCCAUCAGAACUCCGUAGUUUAGCCUGCUUGAGCGAGAGUAGUACUAGGAUGGGUGACCCCCUGGGAAGUCCUUGUGUUGCAAUCUU